Molecule: non-coding RNA, 45 nt
Filed under: Schistosoma margrebowiei
Lineage: Eukaryota; Metazoa; Platyhelminthes; Trematoda; Strigeidida; Schistosomatidae
Source: RNAcentral
ACUCAGCAGACGAGUCCUGAAUAGGAUGAAACGGGCGUCGUGGAU